UACGUAGGUGGCAAGCGUUAUCCGGAAUUAUUGGGCGUAAAGCGCGCGUAGGCGGUUUUUUAAGUCUGAUGUGAAAGCCCACGGCUCAACCGUGGAGGGUCAUUGGAAACUGGAAAACUUGAGUGCAGAAGAGGAAAGUGGAAUUCCAUGUGUAGCGGUGAAAUGCGCAGAGAUAUGGAGGAACACCAGUGGCGAAGGCGACUUUCUGGCCUGUUCUUGACGCUGAGGCGCGAAAGCUAGGGGAGCAAACGGG
RNAcentral lists this ribosomal RNA (253 nucleotides) under uncultured bacterium. RNAcentral describes it as "partial 16S ribosomal RNA". It matches the Rfam family "Bacterial small subunit ribosomal RNA", at positions 524 to 776 of the family's 1533-position model. The record is from RNAcentral.